Long non-coding RNA from Nicotiana tabacum (common tobacco), 586 nucleotides. RefSeq lists it as uncharacterized. The record is from RefSeq and is a predicted model, not a curated record. NCBI's taxonomy places the organism in Eukaryota, Viridiplantae, Streptophyta, Magnoliopsida, Solanales, Solanaceae.
CUUUUUAGAUGAGCCCACACCUGUUUUGACGGAGCAUAUUAGGUUUUCUCCAAUUGAGUAAAAUAUGCUUAAGGUUGUAAUAAACUUUCAAGUUCUGAACUUCUCCGAUUCUCUUCCUCUUACUCAAAUUUCUUCUACUUGCAGGCGGCUUAUCUUAAAUAUCGAAGUAUCAUUAAUGGUCAUACUGGAGAAUUUGACCACGUUAUUCCGUGCUGAUGUCUAAUCCAGAAACUGAAUUUCUUUAUGUCUGUAUCUUUCUUGCGAUCCAUUGUGUGGUUGUGGUGCACUUCUGUUACUCAGUAGAGUUCCAACCGAAAGAUAAAUUUCUGAGCUCUCAUCAUUUACGUAUAGGUAUUUUUGGUCAAGAACUACUAAAAAGAAAACCAGAAAGAAGACCAAAUAUCGCAUACACAACGCAUUUCUUUUUCCUAAUAUGCAAAUAGUUAUGGCAUACCUGUUGUAACUACUAUGACACUUUAAGCAUCCCUUCAUAUGAUGCUUUCAUGGAUGCAAACAUAUAUUUUGAUCAAAAUGUAUGUAAAUAGGCAUCUACCAAUUAGUAUGCAAUAUUGACCACUUGCUUUCA